Molecule: transfer RNA, 97 nt
Filed under: Nitrososphaerota archaeon
Lineage: Archaea; Thermoproteati; Nitrososphaerota
Description: tRNA-Thr
Rfam family: tRNA
About the family: Transfer RNA (tRNA) molecules are approximately 80 nucleotides in length. Their secondary structure includes four short double-helical elements and three loops (D, anti-codon, and T loops).
Source: RNAcentral
GCCUCGGUAGCUCAGCCUAGCUAGAGUCUGUCAAACAGGCGGCUUUAGCGCGACCUUGGUAAGGUCGAGGUCGCGGGUCCGAAUCCCGCCCGAGGCU